This 433-nucleotide ribosomal RNA is filed under the name uncultured bacterium. Its description in RNAcentral is "partial 16S ribosomal RNA". It matches the Rfam family "Bacterial small subunit ribosomal RNA", at positions 29 to 507 of the family's 1533-position model. The record is from RNAcentral.
AACGAACGCUGGCGGCAUGCCUAACACAUGCAAGUCGAACGAGACCUUCGGGUCUAGUGGCGCUUGGGUGCGUAACGCGUGGGAACCUGCCCUUAGGUUCGGAAUAACUCCCCGAAAGGGGUGCUAAUACCGGAUAAUGUCUUCGGACCAAAGAUUGAUCGUCUUUGGAUGGGCCCGCGUUGGAUUAGCUUGUUGGUAGGGUAAAAGCCUACCAAGGCGAGGCUCCAUAGCUGGUCUGAGAGGAUGAUCAGCCACACUGAGACUGAGACACGGCCCAGACUCCUACGGGAGGCAACAGUGGGGAAUAUUGGACAAUGGGCGAAAGGCUGAUGCAGCAAUGCCGCGUGAGUGAUGAAGGCGUGAGGGUUGUAAAGCACUUUUACACGGGAUGAUAAUGACGGUACCGGAAGAAUAAGCACCGGCUAACUCCGUG